AUGGUCCAGGCUCUGUUCACUGUCCUGAUGCUCACGCUUGCUGCUCGACCCUCGUCUCCCCCGACGCUGACCCUGUUACCCCCGUCCCAGACGGAGCUGGCUGAGGGCAGGGCCACCCUGGUGUGUCUGGCGCAGGGCUUUUACCCUGACUCCGUCACCGUGUCCUGGACGAGCGACGGCCGCGCUGCGACAGGCAGCGAGGUGCAGACCAGCGAGAGCCAGCGCCAGUCUGACGGCACCUACUCCGUCAGCAGCCUCUUCUCUCUGCCGGCCGCGCAGUGGAGCUCCGGCCGCUCCGUGUCCUGCCAGCUGCGCCACUCUGCGCUGAGCGCCCCGCUGAGCCGCAGCGUCAGCCAGGCGGAGUGCAGCGCUUAA
This is a non-coding RNA of Megalops cyprinoides (Indo-Pacific tarpon), 375 nucleotides long. Lineage: Eukaryota; Metazoa; Chordata; Actinopteri; Elopiformes; Megalopidae. The record is from the annotation of a RefSeq genome assembly.